UCAACAUCCUACCCUAACGCUAAUUUUUUAUCCGAAAAUAGUAGUUAUCGGUUAUCCCCACCAAUACCUUCAUUUUCUAUAUAAAACUAUCUAAAAUUGUUCUUUUCUCCGGAAACAACUCAAUUUUCAUCUAAACACUAUUUUUCUUAUCCUCAUACUUGUAUCUAUCCCUAUAAUAGCUAGUUCUUGUUUAUACCCGAACCAAAUGGUACCUAAAAGUAGUGGAACGUCUACAACUA
This 239-nucleotide long non-coding RNA is filed under the name Ananas comosus (pineapple). RNAcentral's name for it is "long non-coding RNA (ACOM_LNC009907)". The record is from RNAcentral. Lineage: Eukaryota; Viridiplantae; Streptophyta; Magnoliopsida; Poales; Bromeliaceae.